UCUAGUGAAGGAGAAGAAAUAUGUUGCUGUAGAACUAUUCCAACUAAUAAAUGAAGAAGAAAUGACAGAACCAGAAUAUCACCAUUUUGUGACCCUAAUUGAAUGGAUCUAACUACGCACCCAGAGCUGCCAACACCACAAGAGGCAACCAGACAUACAUGUGUCUCUUGAUGAAAGACACGCUACUUAUGAGGUAAGGAUGAAGUAAGCACCUCCAUCCUGUCUUUCCCACUGAAUGUCACUGUAAUACCUGGGCAGAAUGCAUACAACACCUAUAAGAAGGCUGAAAAGCCAAUAGUGACUGAUUGAAUAAGAAGACUUAACAUUUCCAUGAACUAGAGGAAUUACUUCCAAGUAAAGAGCCCAAGACCUCCUAAGGGACACCCUGGUAGACACCUCUAUUUUCCAAAGAGAGAAGUCAUUCUUACCUGUGUCCUGAUUGUUAUUUAGGACACAUGGUUCAGUGUUUAUGCCAGGUCAGGUCUGUACCCUGAAGUUGAUGAGGACAUUCACUUUGCUUUAUGGGUACUCUCAGGAGAAAUGUGACCUACUUGAAGAAUGGGAAGCUGGCACCUCUCAGCAUGAGACUUAUUUUUAUCUUAAGAACACUUUGAACCAGAUGAAGAAACUGAAGCAUUGAUGGGUAAAGCCACUUGAUCGGGGUGCUCAGUGAACAAGAGAAGGAGUCAGGAUUUGGGCCUCUGCUCAGGUCAGCCAGAAAGAAGGAUUUGUGUGGAUGGCGGUCAUCUGAACUGCAGUGUCCAGGGCACCAGGAACCAGUUGGAUGUUCCACACUCUGGCAUGAGCCCUAUGCUGGCGACUGAGGUCUGGGAGGUGAUGGAAGAGCCACUGGCAUGACAAUGGUGAAUUUUGAACUGAUUCCGGAGUCAUGUGGUUUCAUGAGAUGCACCUCGGAUCUCCCCAGAAGAGGUAACCCAUACCUGGCGCCGGAGGGACGCAGGUCUGCAGCUGAGCCUGCUCCAUGGACCAUGGGACUGGACACAGCAGCAAUGCAAGAAGACCCAGGCCCAGCGCUGGGGAAAGGUUUUUUAGCUGUAAGAGGGGCUCAUCAGACCUUGGUUUUCUCUGCCUCCUUUUAAGUCCUUAUCUCUGUUCAACUUUAUAACCAUCAGAAUUGAUCUACUGAAAUUGCUUUUUUAGAGUCAUCCAGUUGUAGGACACAAAUCCAGGGUAAAGUUUCCAGAUUCCCCACCAUCCUGGAUGUCAACUUGGUGACUGCCACUGUGAUUUGAGGCUGAGACCAAUGGUCUAAACAUGGUCUGAUUAACCCAAAAAACA
Long non-coding RNA from Talpa occidentalis (Iberian mole), 1299 nucleotides. RefSeq lists it as uncharacterized. NCBI's taxonomy places the organism in Eukaryota, Metazoa, Chordata, Mammalia, Eulipotyphla, Talpidae. The record is from RefSeq and is a predicted model, not a curated record. The transcript has 10 exons.